RNAcentral lists this ribosomal RNA (781 nucleotides) under uncultured bacterium. RNAcentral's name for it is "bacterial SSU rRNA". It matches the Rfam family "Bacterial small subunit ribosomal RNA", at positions 94 to 906 of the family's 1533-position model. The record is from RNAcentral.
AGUGGCGGACGGGUGAGUAACACGUGAGAAUCUACCCAUAGGACGGGGACAACAGUUGGAAACGACUGCUAAUACCGGAUGAGCCGAGAGGUAAAACAUUGUAUGGCCUAGGGAUGAGCUCGCGACUGAUUAGCUAGUUGGUUGGGUAAUGGCUGACCAAGGCGACGAUCAGUAGCUGGUCCGAGAGGAUGACCAGCCACACUGGGACUGAGACACGGCCCAGACUCCUACGGGAGGCAGCAGUGGGGAAUUUUCCGCAAUGGGGGCAACCCUGACGGAGCAACGCCGCGUGAGGGAGGACGGUUUGUGGACUGUAAACCUCUUUUAAUAGGGAAGAAGAACUGACGGUACCUAUUGAAUAAGCAUCGGCUAACUCCGUGCCAGCAGCCGCGGUAAUACGGAGGAUGCAAGCGUUAUCCGGAAUUAUUGGGCGUAAAGCGUCCGCAGGUGGUUAGUCAAGUCAUUUGUAAAAUAUUCGAGCUUAACUCGGAAUGUGCAGGUGAAACUGAUUGACUAGAGUACGGUAGGGGUAGAGGGAAUUCCUAGUGUAGCGGUGAAAUGCGUAGAUAUUAGGAAGAACACCAGUGGCGAAGGCGCUCUACUGGGCCUGUACUGACACUGAGGGACGAAAGCUAGGGGAGCGAAAGGGAUUAGAUACCCCUGUAGUCCUAGCUGUAAACGAUGGAUACUAGGUGUUGCGCGUAUCGACCCGUGCAGUAUCGUAGCUAACGCGUUAAGUAUCCCGCCUGGGGGAGUACGCACGCAAGUGUGAAACUCAAAU